AGGACGAACGCUGGCGGCGUGCCUAACACAUGCAAGUCGAACGAGAUCCACGGAGUGCUUGCACUCCCGAAGAUCUAGUGGCGAACGGGUGAGUAACACGUGAGAAACCUGCCCCAGACUCUGGGAUAACCUCGGGAAACCGAAGCUAAUACCGGAUAUUCUCCUUUGGUCGCAUGGCCAGUUGAGGAAAGUUUUUCGGUCUGGGAGGGUCUCGCGGCCUAUCAGCUAGUUGGGGGGGUAACGGCCCACCAAGGCUACGACGGGUAGCUGGUUUGAGAGAACGAUCAGCCACACUGGAACUGAGACACGGUCCAGACUCCUACGGGAGCAGCAGUGGGGAAUCUUGCGCAAUGGGCGAAAGCCUGACGCAGCAACGCGCGUGCGGAUGAAGGCUUCGGGUUGUAACCGCUUCAGCAGGACGAAAUGACGUACCUGCAGAAGAACGCCCGGACUAACGUACGUGCCAGCAGCCGC
This 474-nucleotide ribosomal RNA is filed under the name uncultured soil bacterium. RNAcentral's name for it is "bacterial SSU rRNA". It matches the Rfam family "Bacterial small subunit ribosomal RNA", at positions 26 to 518 of the family's 1533-position model. The record is from RNAcentral.